CCGAAGUCCGUAGUCUAACCGCAAGGAGGGCGCGGCCGAAGGUAAAACUGGUGAUUGGGGUGAAGUCGUAACAAGGUAGCCGUAUCGGAAGGUGCGGCUGGAUCACCUCCUUU
RNAcentral lists this ribosomal RNA (113 nucleotides) under Gemmiger gallinarum. Its description in RNAcentral is "partial 16S ribosomal RNA". It matches the Rfam family "Bacterial small subunit ribosomal RNA", at positions 1421 to 1533 of the family's 1533-position model. The record is from RNAcentral. Lineage: Bacteria; Bacillati; Bacillota; Clostridia; Eubacteriales; Oscillospiraceae.